This 370-nucleotide unclassified non-coding RNA is filed under the name Hevea brasiliensis (rubber tree). Lineage: Eukaryota; Viridiplantae; Streptophyta; Magnoliopsida; Malpighiales; Euphorbiaceae. The record is from RNAcentral.
AUUGAACAGCUAUACAGGAAGGCAUCGUCAACAAAAAAACCAGAAAGGGAAUAUGUAGUGGCAAAGAAAGGAGUUCAAGUUAAGGUUGGCAAGGGAAAAGUCCUUGUUGAUCCAAGAAUGAAAAAAGAUGCAAGAAAGCAUGGAAUGAAAAAGAAGAAGCAGCAGGACAAGGGGAAGAAGGGCAACCAAAAAGGAAAAGGCUCAGGAAAGGCUUCAGCAGCUGGCAACAAGGGAGGCCGGGGAAAGUGAAAUGAACUUUAGGAUCUUUGAGGAGCUUAAGCUCAUGAUUUUGUUUACAUUUUUAGAUUAAUUAGUGUAAGAUUUUCUGGUUUCUUAAUGCUUUUUCUUGUAACAUUGUUUUCUAUUUAUA